This 2617-nucleotide long non-coding RNA is filed under the name Homo sapiens (human). Its description in RNAcentral is "HSALNT0082138". The record is from RNAcentral. Lineage: Eukaryota; Metazoa; Chordata; Mammalia; Primates; Hominidae.
UAACCAUGUCUUUUUAUUUUAUGUAUAUUUAUGGUUUGACAUUGGAGUCUGGCUGAGCCUGGGGGGACUGGCAGUCAGUUAGCUUACUACUGUCUCUAGUUAGCCGAUUCCUAGAGACAGUGAAGGACCCCCGCCUCCAGAGAGAGCCUUUCAAAUGCACAUGAACCAAUCCAAAGCCCAUGCCCCUAACCACGUCCUCUACUGGGGAUCUCAAAUUCAACAUGAUUCCCCCUGCCCUGAUCACCCCAAACCAGGUACCAGACAGUUAGGGACAGGCCCUAUGCCCAGAGUCUGCUGAAAUUAUUCAAGCUCUCCACCCUGAGCCUGCUCACCCUGCCUUGCCUGCUCCUUCCCAUGGAAUCCUCUCCCCAGCAUUCUCCCCCUGCUCACUCUGCCUCCUGCCUGACCCGGGUGCUACCCGUGUGGCCACACACUGUAGGCGCUCACUCCUCUUGGCAUCUGUGAGCAUCAGACUUUUUUUUCAAUGGUAGUCAUCUCCUAUCUACUGGUCUUGCCCUAUCAAAAUUAUAACAAAACCUGUGCUUUAAAACAGUAUAGGGAAGAAAAGAAGUUAAUUCUUGGCAUUUCAGGGCCUCUGUAGCUGCGGUACUGGCAUAUGAACAAACAACUACAUUAACAACAAAAAAGAUUGGAAAGGAUGCACAUUCUAAAAUUUGGAGAAGAGGAAAGAAGAAGAGAGAUGUGGAGGUCAUAGGGCGGGCCCCAAAACUGACCUAUUCAUGCCCCUCUGCUCCCUUCCCCAGGGCUCAGCUUGAAGGAAGAGGUCAGGGUGCUGAACGAUGGCCUGAGACACCCUAAUAACCAACACAACCAACACCCCUUCUCUCUGCAGGUUCUCUCUGCAGCUCUAGCACCUGGCAUCCUCAGACAUCUUCUUAAUACUCACGCAAGUUCUACAGAUGAGAAAAUGAGGCUUCAAAAGAUGAAGACCACACGAUGACUGAAUGGAUGGUGCUGAGUUAUAAUAGCAGUAUCUGUCAUGUAUGGGUUGCUUCCUAUGGGAUAAGCACAAUGAUGCCAUUUCAUUUUAUCCACUCAAUGGCAUACACUGGGAUAGCAUAACAAUAGAACACAUGGGACUCUGAAUUCUGCAGGCUAGGUUUAAUUCUGUUUCUGCUACAUAAUAGCAAAAGAGUUCAUCUUGAUUCUGCUACAUAAUAGCAAAACAGUUCAUCUUGAUUCUGCUACAUAAUAGCAAAACAGUUCAUCUUGCUUUAAGUCAUAAGUCACGGCUCCGAAAAGGACACCCCAAGUAUGGCCUUGACCUGCUGAGGACUUUGAACUAAAGGGCAUUGGAAAGCCUCAGAAGCAGCCUCAGAACCAAGUCUCUGACCUUCUCCUGCCCUCCUGUCUCUCGCCCCUCAUUCCCCCAAGAAGUGAGUCAUAGAAACCAGAAAUCCUCUUCCCUAAAGCAGGUCACGGAAACUAGAAUCUCUUUCCCCAAAGCCAGCCAUUAGAAACUAGAAUCACUACUGGAACUUUCCCUGCCUUUCUGAGUAAGAGCUGGCCAUAAAGAAGUUCUCUGACUUACUUUCCUGAAAGUAGGUUAUAAGACCCUCAUUCCAGAAGGGGCCCUGCCCUACACGCAGGAAGAAGGAACGCCACACAGGGAGGCCAAGAGGAACCCAGACAGGCCCAGCUGGGUCCCCCUCUGUCUGUCACUGUCCCAUCGCUCCCUCUGUGUCCAGUCACAGCUCCGCAGGGCUACCACUCUUCAUCAAAUCUAAGCAUAGAAAUGGGCAGUUUUCCCUUGGUUCUUUGGGUCUUCAUUUCCUAAGGCUCCCAUGUUAUGUAAAACUUUGAUUAAACAAAUCUGUGUGCUUUUCUCUUGUUAACCUGUCUUUUGUUACAGGAGAAUCGGCAGUGGCCCCUUAGCAUGGUGGCACACGUCUGUAAUCCCAGUGCCUGCGGGCAGGGCUAGCUGUCGUUUGAUUCACUGCUGUCACAUUGGAGUGGAGAAGUGCCCAGGAUGCAGGAGAUACUCAGUAAACGCUACUGACUGAGUAACUGUGAGAAAGAAGAAUUCUAUAGUGGAAUUAACAGAGCUGUUCCCGAUUAGUGAUUGAAACAGGACUAUGUGUGAUCUGAGAGGACAGAGACGAGGAGAUGGGACCGAGACUGAGUCACACAGUUCCCGCACUGGCCAUUCUGUGGCUCCCUUAGCCCAGGCCUGGAGAGUUAAACAGCAAAACCUGGAUGGGAAAACCAGGGUUCCCAACUGCGAAAUUUAGGAAGUAACAAGUCAUCAUCUUCUGCAAAGUGAGAGGGAAAUUUUCAGAAAGCAUUAAACAGUGACUUUCUUCUCAUCACAACUUAGGGCCAUUGCCAGAUGUUUGUGCCUGGCCACAGUUCACGUGGGGAGGAGACAAUUCUGGCUGACUAGCCACUGUGGGAGGCAUUCAUCCUGUAGAUGUUCUGGAGGGUGACAGAUCUUCAGUUUCAGCAUCACACAUAACCGGCUAGAGGCAAAUUUGUAAGGAGACAUUCACUGCUUGAGAUGUGACUUACUAUCUGUAGACAGAGAAACCAGAUUUUUCUAUAGCUGUAAUAAAUGCCCUUUAUCAAGAAAGUGGCUAGCCCAUUAUAAACUCAUUGG